GACGAACGCUGGCGGCGUGCCUAAUACAUGCAAGUAGAACGCUGAAGGAGGAGCUUGCUUCUCUGGAUGAGUUGCGAACGGGUGAGUAACGCGUAGGUAACCUGCCUGGUAGCGGGGGAUAACUAUUGGAAACGAUAGCUAAUACCGCAUAAUAGUAGAUGUUGCAUGACAUUUGCUUAAAAGGUGCAAUUGCAUCACUACCAGAUGGACCUGCGUUGUAUUAGCUAGUUGGUGGGGUAACGGCUCACCAAGGCGACGAUACAUAGCCGACCUGAGAGGGUGAUCGGCCACACUGGGACUGAGACACGGCCCAGACUCCUACGGGAGGCAGCAGUAGGGAAUCGUCGGCAAUGGACGGAAGUCCGACCGAGCAACGCCGCGUGAGUGAAGAAGGUUUUCGGAUCGUAAAGCUCUGUUGUAAGAGAAGAACGAGUGUGAGAGUGGAAAGUUCACACUGUGACGGUAUCUUACCAGAAAGGGACGGCUAACUACGUG
RNAcentral lists this ribosomal RNA (495 nucleotides) under uncultured bacterium. Its description in RNAcentral is "partial 16S ribosomal RNA". It matches the Rfam family "Bacterial small subunit ribosomal RNA", at positions 28 to 507 of the family's 1533-position model. The record is from RNAcentral.